Molecule: ribosomal RNA, 26 nt
Filed under: Crepidotus pallidus
Lineage: Eukaryota; Fungi; Basidiomycota; Agaricomycetes; Agaricales; Crepidotaceae
Also listed under: 1 other name
Description: partial 25S ribosomal RNA
Source: RNAcentral
UUGGCCUCAAAUCAGGUAGGACUACC